CAGGACGAACGCUGGCGGCGUGCUUCAUACAUGCAAGUCGAACGAGAAUCUGACUUCGGUCAGAGGAAAGUGGCGGACGGGUGAGUAAAAUGUAGAGAAUCUGCCCUUAAGCGGGGGACAACAGUUGGAAACGACUGCUAAUACCCCAUAUGCGCGUAGCUGAGAUGCUAUUCGUGAAAACUCCGGUGCUUAAGGAUGAGUCUGCAUCUGAUUAGCUAGUAGGCGGUGUAAUGGACCACCUAGGCGACGAUCAGUAGCUGGUUUGAGAGGAUGAUCAGCCACAAUGGGACUGAGACACGGCCCAUACUCCUACGGGAGGCAGCAGUAGGGAAUUUUGCGCAAUGGGGGAAACCCUGACGCAGCAAACCGCCGCGUGAUUGAAGAAGCCCUUCGGGGGUGUGAAGAUCUGUCAGUGGGGACGAAACUUGACGGUACCCACAGAGGAAGCAUCGGCUAACUCCGUGCCAGCAGCAGC
RNAcentral lists this ribosomal RNA (475 nucleotides) under uncultured bacterium. RNAcentral's name for it is "bacterial SSU rRNA". It matches the Rfam family "Bacterial small subunit ribosomal RNA", at positions 25 to 518 of the family's 1533-position model. The record is from RNAcentral.